Molecule: ribosomal RNA, 2916 nt
Filed under: Endozoicomonas montiporae
Lineage: Bacteria; Pseudomonadati; Pseudomonadota; Gammaproteobacteria; Oceanospirillales; Endozoicomonadaceae
Description: bacterial LSU rRNA
Rfam family: Bacterial large subunit ribosomal RNA (bases 514-2916)
Source: RNAcentral
AGUGCUCGUCAUACGCAUACAAAAGAGGCGUAAUCCAAGGGCUGUUUGCAUGACAGGUAGAAAGCACACAGUAUGGAUUUUCACGGAGCAGUUCUGAUGCGGAUGUUUUAUUGCUCAUGGGGCGACCUUCUUUGUCUAUUAUCCAAGCCUUCUUAAGGUAGACCGAUAAAGCGCUGUUGACGGAACAAUCUAUAAAUAGUGCCUGUCAGAAAACCUCUGAAAAAUGGCAGUCGUUCCUGGCCGACAGAAGUUGAUAACGGCUGGAUUUCAGUUACCAGACGAACAAAGGAUGUUUUUUGUACUGCGCUGCUCAAAAUACAACCUGAUUCGACUAUCUACGAGCACAGUAAUCUCUCAUGCUUGGCAUGAUCAAAAGUAAACUGACGGGAGCCUGACUGAAAGGCUACUGACGAUCUCUGGUCAGCAGAAUUUUACCCAACCGCUUCAGGUUGCUGGCGACAACAGCCAGUGCGACAUACCGCUCAAAGCCUUCUAUCCCUUUAUCCGGGCAUUUGUCGAGACCAUUCGCUUCCAGUGCGUUGAUAUCGGAUUCAACGGCUGAGUGCUUCCUUCUUGCCCGGAUAAAUUCCGGGUGGCAUUCCCGUUUUUUGUCAUUGGCUGACAGCCUGCCUUUCUUGGGAAGAACUGAAUGCUCCAGAAGAACUUCCAGCUUUUCAAGAUUGCCCGGACUCCAGAAGCCUUUGUCGUAGCUCACCUGGCUUAAUGUCGGGAACCGCUUUUUGGCAGCCUCNGAUGACUUGUGGAUAGGAGUGAAAGGCUAAUCAAGCCCGGAGAUAGCUGGUUCUCCUCGAAAGCUAUUUAGGUAGCGCCUCUUGUAUCACCAUCGGGGGUAGAGCACUGUUUGGGCUAGGGGGUCAUCCCGACUUACCAACCCCAUGCAAACUCCGAAUACCGAUGAGUGCAAUCAAGGGAGACACACGGCGGGUGCUAACGUCCGUCGUGGAAAGGGAAACAACCCAGACCGUCAGCUAAGGUCCCAAAGUAAUAGUUAAGUGGGAAACGAUGUGAGAAGGCCCAGACAGCCAGGAGGUUGGCUUAGAAGCAGCCACCCUUUAAAGAAAGCGUAAUAGCUCACUGGUCGAGUCGGCUCGCGCGGAAGAUGUAACGGGGCUCAAACUAUUCACCGAAGCUACGGGUUCAACAGUUUACUGUUGAGCGGUAGAGGAGCGUUGUGUAAGCGGUUGAAGGUGUGCCGGGAGGCAUGCUGGACGUAUCACAAGUGCGAAUGCUGACAUGAGUAACGAUAAGGGGAGUGAGAUCCUCCCCCGCCGGAAGACCAAGGGUUCCUGCGCAACGCUAAUCGGCGCAGGGUGAGUCGGCCCCUAAGGUGAGGUCGAAAGACGUAAUCGAUGGGAAACAGGUUAAUAUUCCUGUACCCCUUUUGACUGCGACGGAGUGACGGAGAAGGCUAGGCCAGCACGGUGAUGGUUAUCCGUGUUUAAGGUUGUAGGCAAGGGUCUUAGGUAAAUCCGGGUCCCUCUUUAAUAGAGAAUGCCGAGAACUGAUGACGAACCAGCUACGGCUGGGAAGUGGUUGAUGCCAUGCUUCCAGGAAAAACUUCUAAGCUUCAGGUCAAAAGGGACCGUACCCCAAACCGACACAGGUGGUCAGGUAGAGAAUACCAAGGCGCUUGAGAGAACUUGGGUGAAGGAACUAGGCAAAAUGGCACCGUAACUUCGGGAGAAGGUGCGCCGGCUAGGGUGAAGGACUUGCUCCGUAAGCUCUGGCUGGUCGAAGAUACCAGGUGGCUGCGACUGUUUAUUAAAAACACAGCACUGUGCUAACACGUAAGUGGACGUAUACGGUGUGACGCCUGCCCGGUGCCGGAAGGUUAAUUGAUGGGGUUAGACUCUCUUUUAAGAGAAUCGAAGCUCUUGAUCGAAGCCCCGGUAAACGGCGGCCGUAACUAUAACGGUCCUAAGGUAGCGAAAUUCCUUGUCGGGUAAGUUCCGACCUGCACGAAUGGCGUAACGAUGGCCACGCUGUCUCCACCCAAGACUCAGUGAAAUUGAAAUCGCUGUUAAGAUGCAGUGUAUCCGCGGCUAGACGGAAAGACCCCGUGAACCUUUACUACAGCUUCACAGUGGAUCUUGAUGUUGCUUGUGUAGGAUAGGUGGGAGGCUUUGAAGUGUGGACGCCAGUCUGCAUGGAGCCAACCUUGAAAUACCACCCUGGCAAUAUUGAGGUUCUAACCCGGGUCCCUUAUCGGGAUCGGGGACAUUGUGUGGUGGGUAGUUUGACUGGGGCGGUCUCCUCCCAAAGAGUAACGGAGGAGCACGAAGGUUGGCUAAGCACGGUCGGACAUCGUGCGGUUAGUGUAAAGGCACAAGCCAGCUUGACUGCGAGACGUACAUGUCGAGCAGGUACGAAAGUAGGUCUUAGUGAUCCGGUGGUUCUGAAUGGAAGGGCCAUCGCUCAACGGAUAAAAGGUACUCCGGGGAUAACAGGCUGAUACCGCCCAAGAGUUCACAUCGACGGCGGUGUUUGGCACCUCGAUGUCGGCUCAUCACAUCCUGGGGCUGAAGCCGGUCCCAAGGGUAUGGCUGUUCGCCAUUUAAAGUGGUACGCGAGCUGGGUUUAGAACGUCGUGAGACAGUUCGGUCCCUAUCUGCCGUGGACGUUGGAAGUUUGAGGAGAGCUGCUCCUAGUACGAGAGGACCGGAGUGGACGAACCACUGGUGUUCGGGUUGUGUCGCCAGACGCAUUGCCCGGUAGCUAAGUUCGGACGGGAUAACCGCUGAAAGCAUCUAAGCGGGAAGCCCCCUUCAAGAUGAGACUUCCCUUGGCCUUCGAGGCCACAUAAGAGACGUUGAAGACUACGACGUUGAUAGGCUGGGUGUGUAAGCGUUGUGAGGCGUUGAGCUAACCAGUACUAAUGACUCGAGAGGCUUGACC